Molecule: long non-coding RNA, 334 nt
Organism: Brassica rapa (field mustard)
Lineage: Eukaryota; Viridiplantae; Streptophyta; Magnoliopsida; Brassicales; Brassicaceae
Source: RefSeq, a predicted model, not a curated record
AGCUAUCUCUCUAUUUCUCUCCGCCAUCGUUAAGCAUAGAGACUGACAUCUUAUGUUUCCCACUAAAAACUGAGAAGAUGUUUGCAGAUCGUUAACGAAUAACGCUAGUAUAUAAAGAAUCAAUCAGCGGGAGCACGGGUCAAGCUCAGAAAUUUCUUGUAAUAGACUUGUAGAAGUAACUAUAAAAUGAGAAAAUGAGUUACAGUUCUGAGUAAUUGGGCUUUAAUGAGUUUUAAACGAAUUUAUAUAUUUGUUAUAAGAAGACAAUAGCAUUGGCAUGUUGACAUUGGGCAUAUGAGCUAUUUUUAUAAGACAAGAGGAGUGAGCAGGUGGA